Molecule: ribosomal RNA, 580 nt
Filed under: Meyerozyma smithsonii
Lineage: Eukaryota; Fungi; Ascomycota; Pichiomycetes; Serinales; Debaryomycetaceae
Description: eukaryotic LSU rRNA
Rfam family: Eukaryotic large subunit ribosomal RNA
Source: RNAcentral
AUAUCAAUAAGCGGAGGAAAAGAAACCAACAGGGAUUGCCUUAGUAGCGGCGAGUGAAGCGGCAAAAGCUCAAAUUUGAAAUCUGGCACCUUCGGUGUCCGAGUUGUAAUUUGAAGAUUGUAACCUUGGGGUUGGCUCUUGUCUAUGUUUCUUGGAACAGGACGUCACAGAGGGUGAGAAUCCCGUGCGAUGAGAUGCCCAAUCCUAUGUAAGGUGCUUUCGAAGAGUCGAGUUGUUUGGGAAUGCAGCUCUAAGUGGGUGGUAAAUUCCAUCUAAAGCUAAAUAUUGGCGAGAGACCGAUAGCGAACAAGUACAGUGAUGGAAAGAUGAAAAGAACUUUGAAAAGAGAGUGAAAAAGUACGUGAAAUUGUUGAAAGGGAAGGGUUUGAGAUCAGACUCGAUAUUUUGCGAUCCUUACCUUCGUGGUGGGGUGACCCGCAGCUUAUCGGGCCAGCAUCGGUUUGGGCGGUAGGAUAAUGGCGUAGGAAUGUGACUUUACUACGGUGAAGUGUUAUAGCCUGCGUUGAUGCUGCCUGCCUAGACCGAGGACUGCGAUUUUAUCAAGGAUGCUGGCAUAAUG